This 2876-nucleotide ribosomal RNA is filed under the name Stenotrophomonas maltophilia. RNAcentral describes it as "bacterial LSU rRNA". It matches the Rfam family "Bacterial large subunit ribosomal RNA". The record is from RNAcentral. Lineage: Bacteria; Pseudomonadati; Pseudomonadota; Gammaproteobacteria; Lysobacterales; Lysobacteraceae.
UCAAGCGAAUAAGCGCACACGGUGGAUGCCUUGGCGGUCAGAGGCGAUGAAGGACGUGGCAGCCUGCGAAAAGUAUCGGGGAGCUGGCAACAAGCUUUGAUCCGGUAAUGUCCGAAUGGGGAAACCCACCCGCUUGCGGGUAUCCUGCAGUGAAUACAUAGCUGCUGGAAGCGAACCUGGUGAACUGAAAUAUCUAAGUAACCAGAGGAAAAGAAAUCAACCGAGAUUCCGUAAGUAGCGACGAGCGAACGCGGACUAGCCCUUAAGCUGAUUUGGUUCUAGGAAAACGCUCUGGAAAGAGCGGCCAUAGAAGGUGAUAGCCCUGUAUCUGAAAGGGCCAUUUCAGUGAAGACGAGUAGGGCGGGGCACGUGAAACCCUGUCUGAACAUGGGGGGACCAUCCUCCAAGGCUAAAUACUACUGACCGACCGAUAGUGAACCAGUACCGUGAGGGAAAGGCGAAAAGAACCCCGGAGAGGGGAGUGAAAUAGAACCUGAAACCGUGUGCGUACAAGCAGUAGGAGCUCCGCAAGGAGUGACUGCGUACCUUUUGUAUAAUGGGUCAGCGACUUACUGUUCGUGGCAAGCUUAACCGUAUAGGGGAGGCGAAGGGAAACCGAGUCUGAUAAGGGCGCAUAGUCGCGGGCAGUAGACCCGAAACCGGGUGAUCUAGUCAUGCCCAGGGUGAAGGUGCGGUAACACGCACUGGAGGCCCGAACCCACUCCCGUUGCAAAGGUAGGGGAUGAGGUGUGAUUAGGAGUGAAAAGCUAAUCGAACCCGGAGAUAGCUGGUUCUCCUCGAAAGCUAUUUAGGUAGCGCCUCAUAUGUAUCCUCUCGGGGGUAGAGCACUGUUAUGGCUAGGGGGUCAUCGCGACUUACCAAACCAUUGCAAACUCCGAAUACCGAGACGGACUGUAUGGGAGACACACGGCGGGUGCUAACGUCCGUCGUGAAAAGGGAAACAACCCAGACCCACAGCUAAGGUCCCAAAUUUUGUGCUAAGUGGAAAACCAUGUGGAAAGGCACAGACAGCCAGGAGGUUGGCUUAGAAGCAGCCACCCUUUAAAGAAAGCGUAAUAGCUCACUGGUCGAGUCGGUCUGCGGGGAAGAUUUAACGGGGCUAAGCACAGAACCGAAGCUUGGGGUGCAUACUUUGUAUGCGCGGUAGAGGAGCGUUCCGUAAGCCGUUGAAGGUGGAUUGAGAAGUCUGCUGGAGGUAUCGGAAGUGCGAAUGCUGACAUGAGUAACGAUAAUGCGGGUGAAAAACCCGCACGCCGAAAGCCCAAGGUUUCCUUGCGCAACGUUAAUCGGCGCAGGGUGAGUCGGCCCCUAAGGCGAGGACGAAAGUCGUAGUCGAUGGGAAGCAGGUUAAUAUUCCUGCACCUCGCGUAAGUGCGAUGGAGGGACGGAGAAGGUUAGGUGUACCAGGCGUUGGUUGUCCUGGGGAAAGGCGGUAGGUUUGGAUCUUUGGCAAAUCCGGGAUCCUCUAAGACCGAGCACCGAGACGAGCCUUUAUGGCGAAGUCACUGAUACCACGCUUCCAGGAAAAGCUCCUAAGCUUCAGCUUACGCAGACCGUACCGUAAACCGACACAGGUGGGUAGGAUGAGAAUUCUCAGGCGCUUGAGAGAACUCGGGUGAAGGAACUAGGCAACAUGGCACCGUAACUUCGGGAGAAGGUGCACCCUUUUUGGUGGCUCGUGCGAGCUAUAGCUGAAGAGGGUCGCAGUAACCAGGCCGCUGCGACUGUUUAUCAAAAACACAGCACUCUGCAAACACGAAAGUGGACGUAUAGGGUGUGACGCCUGCCCGGUGCUGGAAGGUUAAUUGAUGGGGUCAGCCGCAAGGCGAAGCUCUUGAUCGAAGCCCCAGUAAACGGCGGCCGUAACUAUAACGGUCCUAAGGUAGCGAAAUUCCUUGUCGGGUAAGUUCCGACCUGCACGAAUGGCGUAACGACAGCGGCGCUGUCUCCACCCGAGACUCAGUGAAAUUGAAAUCGCUGUGAAGAUGCAGCGUUCCCGUGGCAAGACGGAGAGACCCCGUGAACCUUUACUAUAGCUUUACACUGAACGUUGAGUUCGUCUGUGUAGGAUAGGUGGGAGGCUAUGAAACCAUGGCGCUAGCUGUGGUGGAGCCAUCCUUGAAAUACCACCCUGUCGUGCUUGACGUUCUAACCUGGGCCCAUUAUCUGGGUCGGGGACCGUGUAUGGUGGGUAGUUUGACUGGGGCGGUCUCCUCCUAAAGAGUAACGGAGGAGCUCGAAGGUACGCUCAGCGCGGUCGGACAUCGCGCACUGUGUGCAAAGGCAUAAGCGUGCUUGACUGCAAGAUCGACGGAUCAAGCAGGUAGGAAACUAGGACUUAGUGAUCCGGUGGUUCUGUAUGGAAGGGCCAUCGCUCAACGGAUAAAAGGUACUCCGGGGAUAACAGGCUGAUACCGCCCAAGAGUUCAUAUCGACGGCGGUGUUUGGCACCUCGAUGUCGGCUCAUCACAUCCUGGGGCUGUAGUCGGUCCCAAGGGUAUGGCUGUUCGCCAUUUAAAGUGGUACGCGAGCUGGGUUCAGAACGUCGUGAGACAGUUCGGUCCCUAUCUGCCAUGGGCGUUGGAGAUUUGAGAGGGGCUGCUCCUAGUACGAGAGGACCGGAGUGGACGAACCUCUGGUGUUCCGGUUGUCACGCCAGUGGCAUCGCCGGGUAGCUAUGUUCGGAAGCGAUAACCGCUGAAAGCAUCUAAGCGGGAAGCGCGCCUCAAGAUGAGAUCUCCCGGGGCACAAGCCCCCUGAAGGAACCAUGUAGACUACGUGGUUGAUAGGUCAGGUGUGUAAGUACAGCAAUGUAUUGAGCUAACUGAUACUAAUGAUCCGUGCGGCUUGACCAU